AAAAAAGCAAACCCUAAGUUUACGUAUCCAACUUUAACUAUCCGUCUUAUAUGGAAUUUUUUUAUAAUUCGUAUUUUUAUUGUUGUUAGAUGAUAAAACAUGAUUAAUAUUUUAUGCGUGAAUUGUUUUUUAAAUUUUUUUCAUAAUUUUUUCAAAUAAAACGGACGGUUAAACGUUGGACACGAAAACCAGGUUCGUCUUUUU
This is a non-coding RNA of Oryza glumipatula, 204 nucleotides long. The record is from Rfam. NCBI's taxonomy places the organism in Eukaryota, Viridiplantae, Streptophyta, Magnoliopsida, Poales, Poaceae.